Molecule: ribosomal RNA, 466 nt
Filed under: uncultured Verrucomicrobiota bacterium
Lineage: Bacteria; Pseudomonadati; Verrucomicrobiota
Description: bacterial SSU rRNA
Rfam family: Bacterial small subunit ribosomal RNA
Source: RNAcentral
GAUGUUGGGGAUAACUUGCUGAAAGGCGAGCUAAUACCGAAUGUGGUUGUCUGAUGGCAUCAUUGGAUAACUGAAGUUGGGGACCGUAAGGCCUGACGCAUCACGAUAAGCCCGCGGCCUGUCAGCUAGUUGGUAAGGUAAUGGCUUACCAAGGCUAAGACGGGUAGCUGGUCUGAGAGGACGACCAGCCACACUGGAACUGAGACACGGCCAGACACCUACGGGUGGCAGCAGUCGAGAAUUUUCUCAAUGAGCGAAAGCUUGAAGGAGCGACGCCGCGUGAGGGAUGAAGGGCUUCGGCCCGUAAACCUCUGUCAUUUGCGAACAAACCGAUUCACCUAACACGUGAAGCGCUGAUUGUAGCGAAAGAAGAAGGGACGGCUAACUCUGUGCCAGCAGCCGCGGUAAUACAGAGGUCCCAAGCGUUGGUCGGAUUCACUGGGCCGUAAAAGGGUGCGUAGGUGGC